AUGGCUUACUAUUCAGAUCAUCAUGCUUAUGCGAGCAACACUACAAACAGCACGGAAAGUGUUCAAGAACUGAUAGGUAAGAUUUCCCAUCGAUUAGAUGAUUUAGCUCGGCAGCGAGAAGGAGUUUUUGAGGAUAGGCCUAGUUCUUACGAUCCUUAUUCCAGUGGCCAUCCUUAUGUUGCUCCUACUUGCCAUAUUUGUGGAUUUCAGGGCCAUUCACCCGCUGAAUGUCAGUGUGGCUACUCUCACACUCCGGAUUGUUUUGGCAUGAGCUUCGCUCAAGAGCAUAGCUCAUACCAAAACAAUUACUCACAUGGGUGGCCUGAAAUCCCGAAUAUGUCAUAUAGGAGCAACAACCCUGAGAUCUCACAGUUUGGUUCUAGUAAUCAUAUGCAGGGAUUUAGGUACAAUGAGGAGAGCCACAACUAUGCACCACAACAAUUCCAUUCAGCUCCUACUCAUAUACCACAGCACCAGGAGAUGUGUCCAAUGGAGUUAAAUGGUCCUCCAUUUGGUCAACCAACAACUCCAGCACCUGUUGUGCAAUCUCAUGUGCAAGUGCCCACACAAGAUGAGUUCGAUGACAUAGACAAGCUCACACUUUUGAGUCUCGAGUUCACUUGGAGUGCCGAGGAUGAUCCUAUUAGGAAGGUGAUACUUGAGGAAAUGAAGAAGAUUAAGAGUGGAAAAGAGCUAGUGGAAGAAGUAAGGAAGAUUGAGAAGAACAUCAACGCUGGCAGCACUAUUUCUUCACAGCUAGAGCUGAGUGUUGCUGAGAUAUCCAUUGAUACAUGUGAGGUACCAACACCUUCACAUUCAGCUGAGCAAGAUAGCGAGAGUCCAGAGGAAGAGAUACUUCAGAUCCAAGAAGAAAUUCUCGAAGCCAAGGCACAAGAUGAUCUAGAGCUCGAACAACAAAGUGAUCAAGUUGAAGACUCAUCAUCUACUACUCCUGAAGAAGUACAAGAAGCUGUUGUAGAUGAAGAUGAAGAACAUGAGAUUCAUUUGCCUAUUGUCAUACCAGAGCGUGAUGUGUCAGGUUUACUCAAUCCUCUUGAUGACAUUAUGCCUUGUGAUUUCUUUGCUACUACCUUGCAUUACAUGAUACCAUCACUUAAGAUUGAUUUGAAAACUCAUUUGCUUGGAUAUGAUGAUAUAUACCCUGUUAGUGGCAUUACUCUCAUUUGUGAUGACCAUAGUUACUUUCCUCGCGCUAAUCCUAUGCUUAAUGAAACAUAUCACUCCCAUGCUAGUCUUGAGCUUAAUGAUAAAUAUCAUCCUCAUGUUAGUGUUGACCUUGCUGAUUUCUACCAUCCUAAACAUGUGCUUUAUAGCUAUGCUUAUGUAAUUGGAUACUCUAUCGAUGACUAA
This 1371-nucleotide ribosomal RNA is filed under the name Triticum aestivum (bread wheat). RNAcentral's name for it is "partial small subunit ribosomal RNA". The record is from RNAcentral. Lineage: Eukaryota; Viridiplantae; Streptophyta; Magnoliopsida; Poales; Poaceae.